RNAcentral lists this ribosomal RNA (523 nucleotides) under uncultured bacterium. Its description in RNAcentral is "bacterial SSU rRNA". It matches the Rfam family "Bacterial small subunit ribosomal RNA", at positions 8 to 526 of the family's 1533-position model. The record is from RNAcentral.
AGAGUUUGAUCAUGGCUCAGAUUGAACGCUGGCGGCAUGCUUUACACAUGCAAGUCGAACGGGGCAAGGGGGCAACUCCUUGUUCAGUGGCGAACGGGUGAGUAAUGCAUCGGAACGUGUCCCGCAGUGGGGGAUAACUCGGCGAAAGCCGAGCUAAUACCGCAUACGCUCUGCGGAGGAAAGCGGGGGAUUCGCAAGAACCUCGUGCUAUGGGGGCGGCCGAUGUCCGAUUAGCUAGUUGGUGGGGUAAUGGCCUACCAAGGCGACGAUCGGUAGCUGGUCUGAGAGGAUGAUCAGCCACACUGGGACUGAGACACGGCCCAGACUCCUACGGGAGGCAGCAGUGGGGAAUUUUGGACAAUGGGGGCAACCCUGAUCCAGCCAUGCCGCGUGCGGGAAGAAGGCCUUCGGGUUGUAAACCGCUUUUAGCCGGGACGAAAGGGGCACGGAUAACACCCGUGUCUGUUGACGGUACCGGCGGAAUAAGCACCGGCUAACUACGUGCCAGCAGCCGCGGUAAUUC